CUAGACAAUUAAUCCUCAAUUAAUUGCAAAGAAAACUACUACUCACAUGAUCAUAUAUCCAAACUCAAUUGUCUAUGGAUAUAUUUUCCUUUCAAUAUAAUAUACAUUUCCUUAGCACACAACAACCAAUCCAAGUAACAUGAAAAAAACUCGAUACUUCCAUAGCUCUCUUUGCAAUUACAGAAGGUCAGAAGAUAUUGCGACUACUACUACUACUAUUGCUUUCUUCAUCAAGAUCCUCUCCAUUUGAAGAGACCUCAGUGAUAACACUGGAGCUUGAAGAUGACGAAGAGGACGAAACAAAAUCAAAACCAAUAUUGUCCUUCCUCGUAAAAUAAAAAAAUCUGUGCAUAUGAGACUUCACCGCCACAUUCUCUACUCUAUCAUCCUUACAAGCCUGAUCUAUCUCACUAUUUCUUUUCUUCAAAAAUAUUCGACAUAGAACCCACUUCUCUAUUUGAUCAGAAGAAUUCUGCAGAAACCAAAAGCUUGGCAUUGAGUUACAUAAUCAAAGAAAACAUGUAUAUAUAUUCAUCUAAAACCAUCUAUUUGUGUAUAAUGAUAGUUAACUUGCCUGGGCUGAGUUCUUUGUCAAUGGAAAAUUAUUAUUGCAAGCUACAGUACCUACACUAACAAGGCGAUAUUCAUGCAUGAUCCAAUCAGUUCUAGUAGCAUGGGGAGUCUUGCCUCUAUAGAAAACCAGAGUCUUUUUCAUCCCCACUGCAUGGUUCUUGUGUGAAGAACCUAUUUGUCUGUCUAAGCCAGUCGCCUUCCAAUACCCAGAAGCAGUUGCUCGGUUGAUUCUAUUUCCAUUUGGAUACUUGGCUUCAUUGUUGCUGAAGAAGUAUCUCUCUUGCUCUAUAUCACCAGGCAAAUCCCAAGGGUCAAACUGGCAGACAUUGAUCUCAGGAAUGAUAGAAGCAGGCAACGGCCAUGAAAGGACCUUACGUUUGAGGUACUCAAAGACAAGCUCUUCAUCUGUUGGCUGAAAACGUAAACCUGGAGGCAACUUCAUCAUUCCUUCUCUAGCAAAGAUGAACUUCUCCAUAUUGAAGUCUUUUCUUGAUAUUUUUAUACUUAAUAACCUUUGACAAUUCAACUGAGCUAAAUCUCUCUGCAAGCUUAGCCCACGUAUCUACGAUGCACACAAGAGAUGCACCAUAGAUAGAGAGAGAGAGAGAGUGUGUGAGAUUCACCUGCCCCCCUUCUCUCUCUUGCUAUCUAGGUUUCUAAAUUUUCAUUCCAUUUCUUCUCUCUUGGUUUCAUCGUCUUUGCUUAUUGGAUUUUUCAACCACGUCCCCCUUUCUUCCAUUUUCUCAAUAAUCUUUUGUAUUCUUUUUCUUUUCCUCAAAAAUGGAUUUUUCGGAUACCCAUUUCCCCAAAGCCUAAUAUUUGCCUGUCAGACACUCCAAUCUUUCUUCGGGGAUGAGGAAAAUAGGCUGAGGUAUACACUAAAGCCUAAGAAGAAGUUCAAUCGCAAGGUUUAGAUUAAUGGGUAAACAAGCAAUCCAGGUAUUUGAUGACAAAAAGGAUGGAUUUUUCUCAAUCUCUGAUUUGGGGUCUCAAUGGGGUUUUCAAGAUGGGCAAUAUUUUCAUGGUGGAGGCCUUUUUGCAAGCGUUAAUCAGAUGGGGAUGGGCUUCCCAAAUUCCAGUGAC
RNAcentral lists this unclassified non-coding RNA (1656 nucleotides) under Hevea brasiliensis (rubber tree). Lineage: Eukaryota; Viridiplantae; Streptophyta; Magnoliopsida; Malpighiales; Euphorbiaceae. The record is from RNAcentral.